ACUAAUGAAACUGAUCUUCUGGUACAAAAGCCAGAAUAUACCCACAAGACGAGAAGACCCUGUGGAGCUUAUAACCCAGUCACUACUACUAACCUGCCCUAGUGACCAGUUUAAGUUGGGGCGACUACGGAGUACAGCAAACCCUCCAAGAAACCAGGCUAACACCCCACCCCUAGGCACACGCGCCAACAAGACAAGACCCCCAUUUGACCCAGUACCACUGACCAUCGAACCAAGUUACCCCAGGGAUAACAGCGCCAUCCCCCUCUAGAGUCCAUAUCACCAGGGGGGUUUACGACCUCGAUGUUGGAUCAGGACAAG
RNAcentral lists this ribosomal RNA (321 nucleotides) under Mediodactylus kotschyi (Kotschy's gecko). RNAcentral's name for it is "partial large subunit ribosomal RNA". It matches the Rfam family "Bacterial large subunit ribosomal RNA", at positions 2032 to 2546 of the family's 2925-position model. Lineage: Eukaryota; Metazoa; Chordata; Lepidosauria; Squamata; Gekkonidae. The record is from RNAcentral.